This 446-nucleotide ribosomal RNA is filed under the name uncultured bacterium. RNAcentral's name for it is "partial 16S ribosomal RNA". It matches the Rfam family "Bacterial small subunit ribosomal RNA", at positions 338 to 795 of the family's 1533-position model. The record is from RNAcentral.
CCUACGGGAGGCAGCAGUCGAGAAUCAUUCACAAUGGGGGAAACCCUGAUGGUGCGACGCCGCGUGGGGGAAUGAAGGUCUUCGGAUUGUAAACCCCUGGCAUGUGGGAGCAAAUUAAAAAGAUAGUACCACAAGAGGAAGAGACGGCUAACUCUGUGCCAGCAGCCGCGGUAAUACAGAGGUCUCAAGCGUUGUUCGGAAUCACUGGGCGUAAGGCGUGCGUAGGCUGUUUCGUAAGUCGUGUGUGAAAGGCGCGGGCUCAACCCGCGGACGGCACAUGAUACUGCGAGACUAGAGUAAUGGAGGGGGAACCGGAAUUCUCGGUGUAGCAGUGAAAUGCGUAGAUAUCGAGAGGAACACUCGUGGCGAAGGCGGGUUCCUGGACAUUAACUGACGCUGAGGCACGAAGGCCAGGGGAGCGAAAGGGAUUAGAUACCCGGGUAGUC